UUUCACUAUGUUGGCCAGGCUGGUCUUGAACUCCUGAUCUCAUGAUCUGCCUGCCUCAACCUCCCAAAGUGCUGGGAUUACAGGCGUGAGCCACCACGCCCAGCCUUUGUUACUUUCAAGAAGAGCAACACAUCAUAGAAAGAGGUUUACUGGGCCAGGCAUGGUGGCUCACACCUGUAUUCCCAGCACUUGGGGAAGCCAAGGCGGGCAGAUCACCUGAGGUCAGGAGUUCGACACCAGCCCAGACAACAUGUGAAACCAUGUCUCUACUAAAAAUACAAAAAAAAAUUAGCUGGGUAUGGUGGCAGGCACCUAUAAUCCCAGCCACUCGGGAGGCUGAGGAGGCUGAGGCAGGAGAAUCGCUUGAACCUGGGAGGCAGAAGUUGCAGUGAGCCAAGAUCACACCAUUGCACUCCAGCCUGGAUGACAGAGCAAGACUCCAUCUCAAUAAAUAGAUUCGCUCUGUUGUCUAUCAGCUUGCAUACUUUGAUGAAACAAGCUUCCAUGUUGAAGAGGACCAAGUGGAAGUGAAUUGAGGGCAAGCACUGGACAACAGCCAGAGAGAAAGUCCAAAGCCCAUUCCCCUAUAAGUAACUGAAUGCAGCCAACAACCAGUGAGUGGACCUGAAAGCUUUCCAACAGCCUUGUAAUGACUACAGUUGCAGCCAACAACAUGAUUUCAGCCUGCGAGAGACCUCAGCAUACCUGGAUUCCCGGACUACAGAAACUGAGCUAAUAAAUGUGUGCCAUUUUGAGCCACUAAGUUUUGGCACAUUUUUUUGGGCACAUUAGAUAGCAAUAGUAGAUAAUUAAUAGAAGCUUGUUACUAUUUGUCCCUCUACUUUCUACUCCAAUAUUUUG
RNAcentral lists this long non-coding RNA (861 nucleotides) under Homo sapiens (human). RNAcentral describes it as "HSALNT0321401". The record is from RNAcentral. Lineage: Eukaryota; Metazoa; Chordata; Mammalia; Primates; Hominidae.